This 465-nucleotide ribosomal RNA is filed under the name uncultured Klebsiella sp. Its description in RNAcentral is "bacterial SSU rRNA". It matches the Rfam family "Bacterial small subunit ribosomal RNA", at positions 338 to 795 of the family's 1533-position model. Lineage: Bacteria; Pseudomonadati; Pseudomonadota; Gammaproteobacteria; Enterobacterales; Enterobacteriaceae. The record is from RNAcentral.
CCUACGGGGGGCAGCAGUGGGGAAUAUUGCACAAUGGGCGCAGGCCUGAUGCAGCCAUGCCGCGUGUGUGAAGAAGGCCUUCGGGUUGUAAAGCACUUUCAGCGGGGAGGAAGGCGGUGAGGUUAAUAACCUCAUCGAUUGACGUUACCCGCAGAAGAAGCACCGGCUAACUCCGUGCCAGCAGCCGCGGUAAUACGGAGGGUGCAAGCGUUAAUCGGAAUUACUGGGCGUAAAGCGCACGCAGGCGGUCUGUCAAGUCGGAUGUGAAAUCCCCGGGCUCAACCUGGGAACUGCAUUCGAAACGGGCAGGCUAGAGUCUUGUAGAGGGGGGUAGAAUUCCAGGUGUAGCGGUGAAAUGCGUAGAGAUCUGGAGGAAUACCGGUGGCGAAGGCGGCCCCCUGGACAAAGACUGACGCUCAGGUGCGAAAGCGUGGGGAGCAAACAGGAUUAGAUACCCUUGUAGUC